This 375-nucleotide ribosomal RNA is filed under the name uncultured bacterium. RNAcentral describes it as "bacterial SSU rRNA". It matches the Rfam family "Bacterial small subunit ribosomal RNA", at positions 521 to 896 of the family's 1533-position model. The record is from RNAcentral.
UAAGACGAACCGAGCGAACGUUAUUCGGAAUCACUGGGCUUAAAGGGCGCGUAGGCGGGCGGUCAAGUCCGGGGUGAAAGCCCCCAGCUCAACUGGGGAAGUGCCUCGGAUACUGAUCGCCUCGAGGGAGAUAGGGGCGUGCGGAACUUCCGGUGGAGCGGUGAAAUGCGUAGAUAUCGGAAGGAACACCGAUGGCGAAAGCAGCGCGCUGGAUCUCUUCUGACGCUGAGGCGCGAAAGCCAGGGGAGCGAACGGGAUUAGAUACCCCGGUAGUCCUGGCCCUAAACGUUGGGUACUAGGUUGUGGGCUUACAUGGGUUCACAGCCGAAGCAAAAGUGUUAAGUACCCCGCCUGGGGAGUAUGGUCGCAAGGCUG